CAACCGUGGAAGGAAAGUGUUGUUGAAAGAAACGAUUGAUGACCACUUCUCAAAAAAUUAUCGCAUUUAAUUUUAAUAGAAUCAAUAAUAUCACGAUUUUAUUAAAUGUUGAAUUUCGAAUAUUUACAUCCAGUCUUCAAGACUUUGGUAUACAUAUUCAUUUAUAUGAACAUAGCCAAUAUAGUAUAGUAACAACCAAAUUUAUCAGCCACAUUAUGGUACUCAGGAAGUUUUUCUGGUUGCUUAGAUUGAACUAUGUUAAAGUUUUGUAAGUAUUAACUUGUUAACAAUAAUACAAAAGUUUGUGCUCUAUCUUUUUCUAUAAGAAUUUCCUCAACUUGCACAUAAUUUUUUUGAUUGGGAGCUGUAUGUUACAAUUCCAUUUAUUAGCAGAAAUAAAAAAAACAUAUGUAUUAGUGAAA
Condylostylus longicornis is the source of this 422-nucleotide long non-coding RNA. RefSeq lists it as uncharacterized. NCBI's taxonomy places the organism in Eukaryota, Metazoa, Arthropoda, Insecta, Diptera, Dolichopodidae. The transcript is spliced from 2 exons. The record is from RefSeq and is a predicted model, not a curated record.